UGUCAUGUCCACCAUUAUAUAGACUUGUUAAAACUCAAAAACAACCACUAACAUUGAGACCAAUGGUUGAUAAAUCAUAAUCACCACUUACUUCUUUGGAGAAGAAGCUAACAUAAUGGUGUUUAAUGAAAAUGACAGACUACACAUGCACAGUGGACUCUUCUAUAAAAUUCCUACAUUUAAAUUCUCAUAACAUAAAGGAAGAUACAUUCAUUGUUGCAGAUUAUUCAAAACUCUACACAUCCAUAAGUUUAGUCCCAGCAUGUCUGUUCUUAUAUAGGUUUUUGCUUAAGAAUACACAGGAGAUGGCUGUCACACCUUAUCUUUUAAGAGACCUCUGCAACUUAAUAGUGUACAACUUAGUUUAUCUAUAUAAAGGCUGUUAUUAGAACAAAAUGUAGGAAUCCCAAUAAGUAGCGCAAUGAUGUUAUCAUGUCUGAACUAAUUAUUAGUCGUAAGAAACAAACUAUCCUACCUACAUUAAACACACAUAUACACCUAAUGCUAAGGUACGGGGAUGACGUAUUCAUCAUUUUUGAUAAAAUUAUGUUUAUACCAAGUAUGUUGUCUCCUUUAUUGAUCACUCCCUAGGUUUAGAUCUUAAAAUUGAGCAACAGUCUGAGCAUAAUAUACACUUCCUAGAUGUAGAUAUUCUAAUAAAAGACAGAACAUUUU
Molecule: long non-coding RNA, 675 nt
Filed under: Androctonus crassicauda
Lineage: Eukaryota; Metazoa; Arthropoda; Arachnida; Scorpiones; Buthidae
Source: RNAcentral